Molecule: long non-coding RNA, 2632 nt
Organism: Homo sapiens (human)
Lineage: Eukaryota; Metazoa; Chordata; Mammalia; Primates; Hominidae
Source: Ensembl
GACCUGCAUGGGCUAUAUCAGUAGGAAGAUUGACUAAGUUCUUCCUGGUGGAAUGGGUUCCUUCCUGCUUAGUGUAUACGUUGAGUAUGUGAUCACUCAAUUUGUAGCAAGAAGAUAACAUCUCUGACAUCAUUGACUUCUUCUGCAUAUCUUACAGAAGCUCUAAGAAGAAUGGAAGAGAUAACAGAACACAUCUGGAAGAACAAUCUGUUACCUCUGGACAAACCCAGCUAUAGGAUCCGUGGGGCCGAAUACAAAUGAAAAUGCAGAAUCCCUUGUUCAAAGAUUAUUGAAAGUUUCAUGAUGGCAGCAGCAGAACAUUAAACCAAGUGGGGGAUUCUUAUAGGUGCAGGGCACUGUUUGACUAUACAUGUCUCCCACCCAUGAAGUUGGCCCUGCCUCCGGCUGUGCUCCCCACCUUCCUUCCUAUUCAACUACUGAUGUCUGCCAUUCUAUCUUUUACACUUAAACCCUCCCCUUGGUAAGCUUCAAUUGCUCCUCAGUUAUCAGUCACUGUAAUCUCAGUGAAUGUGAGUUUCAUGGAAGCUCACAGCUGAGAGCAGGUUUGAUAUAUGGUAGGAUAGAGAUAAGUCAGGGUUGGGAGAAAGAUGAAGGAUAGCAGGCUACAGGAGGCUGCCAGGGUAUGGCAUGGGGAUCUUGAGUACCUUAUAAGGAAGAUGCCUUUAUUCAGAGUAGGAUUCCUGGAAUGGCCUAGUAGAAGUAGAAGUGGGCUGAAGAAAAGCUUUUAUGUUUUGCGCUUAUGUAGAUUUUGUGUUGUGGUGGACCUUUUUAGAUAGAGUAGAUGGUGGUGGGCUAAAGUGCUGAUGUAGGUAAGUUUGGACGUCUCUAUGCAUGUGCUGAGGACUUCUAAACUGGAGGUAUUAAGGGUGAAAGAAACCACUCCUCUAGUCUGCAAAUGCUAAGGUCCUCUUUUAUGCCUUAACAGAUUCAGUAGCAGUUUACUCAUGCUCAUGUCUAGCAACUCCAAAGAUGGUCCUGGGAAAAGCUUUCACCCUGACUUACAGUAUAGCUAACCAUUACUUAGAAGCUUAGGUUGUGUAUUUUUAAUGUGGGAAAACAAGAAGGAAUCUGAGUUUUCAUAGUAAAACAUCUACUACUCAUAAACCUGUGUGGUAUACAAAUCAUGUUGCUCUCGUCUAUUAAUAUAUAGAAGGAAAGUGUAUUAGUUACACGGAUUAGUGUUGUUAUUAUAAUGCUGCAUAAUAAACAAAACAUCUCUGUAGUAUACAACAAUAAGCAUUUAUUCAGCUUAUACUCUGGAGUUCCCCUAGUCCAGUCGUGGCAUGACAGGGCUUGCUCAUGUAUCUGUCAGCUAGGCAGCUCUGCUGUUCUUGGCUGGACUUGCUUCCAUGAUUGUGUGCCAGCAGGCUGUUGGUUGAUCUAGUCAUUCUUGCAACAUUGGAUGACUUGGUUUCACUCCAUGUGUCUUAUGUCCUCCAGUAGGCCAAACUGGACAUGUUUUCAUGACAAUGGCCGUGGGCAAUAGGUAGGCAGAGACAUAUAAAUAAAAUUUCAGGCUUCUGCUUGCAUCACAUCUGAUAACAUUUAUUGGCUUGAGCAAGUUGCAAAACCAGCCCAGAACAGGAGAGCUUUCCAAAUUCCAAAGGUAAGGAGGUGGACCCUGCCUUUUUAGGGGGAAGAACUGCAAAGGCAUGUGGCAAAAAACAUGGGUAAAGAGAGGAAGGAAGGAUUGGAGUCAUUUAUAGCUUCCAUUUACCAUAGUCUGUCAAAAACUCUGCUAAGACUUGAUGUUUAGAUUACAGUGAUAUACUAAGUUUUUGUUCCUUUAUAUCAUUAAAUGAAGCCGAAUCACCAGAAAAAUCUGACACCUAUAUAUCAGUUUUUAAUGUAUUGUCUCUCAGCUCCAACUACCAUUCUGUGCACUGCUUUGUGAAACUGGAGCUGAACCUGGUAAAGAUUUCUCUUUCUCCAGCUGGCUUGAUGCUAAGCUUUAUCAACAGAGGGUGCUAGAGGGACAUUGUUGAGGGGAUGAUGGCAGGAGGGUGCUUCCCUUCCAGGUUCCAGUCCUCAUUCCUUGUUAUUCAUUGUGAAAGUCAGUAGAUCAGUGUGCAGAUGGCCUAGUGGAGCUGAUCAUCAAGACCAACUCCUCCCUCUCACCUAGGGGCUGUUUUACUGGCAGUUCUGUACACACACUUAGGGAGCUGUCUUCCUACCUAGCUGGACCACUUUUAUAUUUCAGGUCAGAUCUGUUCCCUCUGUUGUUUCUUCCCCUCUGACAGAAAGUGGUAGCCCUACCCUCUUCAAAAUUCUUGGUUCUUCAUUUCCUGUACCCCUUCAGCCUAAUAAUUUUUUUUCCGUAAGUGCUAUUUCUGAAUCUCUUAGAGCAGGGGUUGGUAAACUAUGAUUAGUGGACAAAAUAAGGGGAUAUCAUUCUAUACUUAUCAAACUAGCUAAAUAUUCAGACUUAUGACAACACACUUAUGGGAAGGUUGUGGGGAAGCAAAUAUCCUAAUAAAAUGCUAGAAGUAUACUAUCUUUUGGGAGGUCACUAUAAAAUAUAUAACAUGUAAUUAUAUAUACAAUAUGCAAUAAAACACUUAAAAUGUGCAUAUUCUUCUUAACUCAGCAAUUUAAAAAAUAAUUAAAAGGA